RNAcentral lists this ribosomal RNA (546 nucleotides) under uncultured bacterium. RNAcentral's name for it is "bacterial SSU rRNA". It matches the Rfam family "Bacterial small subunit ribosomal RNA", at positions 355 to 896 of the family's 1533-position model. The record is from RNAcentral.
UAGGGAAUUUUUCACAAUGAGCGAAAGCUUGAUGGAGCAAUGCCGCGUGAACGAUGAAGGUCUUUAAGAUUGUAAAGUUCUUUUAUUUGGGAAGAAUGACUUUAGCAGGUAAUGGCUAGAGUUUGACUGUACCAUUUUGAAUAAGUGACGACUAACUAUGUGCCAGCAGUUGCGGUAAUACAUAGGUCGCAAGCGUUAUCCGGAUUUAUUGGGCGUAAAGCAAGCGCAGGCGGAUUGAAAAGUCUGGUGUUAAAGGCAGCUGCUUAACAGUUGUAUGCAUUGGAAACUAUUAAUCUAGAGUGUGGUAGGGAGUUUUGGAAUUUCAUGUGGAGCGGUGAAAUGCGUAGAUAUAUGAAGGAACACCAGUGGCGAAGGCGAAAACUUAGGCCAUUACUGACGCUUAGGCUUGAAAGUGUGGGGAGCAAAUAGGAUUAGAUACCCUAGUAGUCCACACCGUAACGAUAGAUACUAGCUGUCGGGGCGAUCCCCUCGGUAGUGAAGUUAACACAUUAAGUAUCUCGCCUGGGUAGUACAUUCGCAAGAAUG